This 468-nucleotide ribosomal RNA is filed under the name uncultured bacterium. RNAcentral's name for it is "partial 16S ribosomal RNA". It matches the Rfam family "Bacterial small subunit ribosomal RNA", at positions 28 to 507 of the family's 1533-position model. The record is from RNAcentral.
GACGAACGCUGGCGGCGUGCUUAACACAUGCAAGUCGAACGGAAAGGCCCUGCCGUUGUGGGGUGCUCGAGUGGCGAACGGGUGAGUAACCCGUGAGUAACCUGCGCUUGACUUUGGGAUAACUUCAGGAGACUUGGGAUAAUACCGGAUAGGAGGUCCUGCUGCAUGGUGGGGGUUGGAAAGUUUCGGCGGUUGGGGAUGGACUCGCGGCUUAUCAGCUUGUUGGUGGGGUAGUGGCUUACCAAGGCAUUGACGGGUAGCCGGCAUGAGAGGGGGACCGGGCCCCAUGGGCCUGAGAGAGGGCCCAGAGGCCAACGUGGGGCAGUAGGGGGAAACCUUGCACAAUAGGGCCGAGUCUGAGGCAGCAACCCCCCGUGUGUAAUCACGGUUUUGUGGGAGUAAACCGCUGUCGCCUGUGACGGAGCGCUAGUGACGGUAAUGGGUGAAGAAGCACCGGCUAACUACGUG